Molecule: ribosomal RNA, 194 nt
Filed under: uncultured crenarchaeote
Lineage: Archaea; Thermoproteati; Thermoproteota
Description: partial 16S ribosomal RNA
Rfam family: Archaeal small subunit ribosomal RNA
Source: RNAcentral
CCGAGUGGUGUGGAUGUUUAUUGGGCCUAAAGCAUCCGUAGCUGGCUAAGUUAGUCCCUUGUUAAAUCCACCGAAUUAAUCGUUGGAUGCGGGGGAUACUGCUUAGCUAGGGGACGAGAGAGGCAGACGGUAUUUCCGGGGUAGGGGUGAAAUCCUAUAAUCCCGAGAAGACCACCAGUGGCGAAGGCUGUCGG